Molecule: ribosomal RNA, 292 nt
Filed under: uncultured bacterium
Lineage: Bacteria
Description: partial 16S ribosomal RNA
Rfam family: Bacterial small subunit ribosomal RNA
Source: RNAcentral
GUGCCAGCAGCCGCGGUAAUACGGAGGGUGCAAGCGUUGUCCGGAUUUAUUGGGUUUAAAGGGUGCGUAGGCGGUCUGGUAAGUCGGCGAUGAAAGCCCGGGGCUCAACCCCGGAACUGUCGUCGAUACUGUCGGACUUGAGUAGGGUUGAGGCUGGCGGAAUGGGCGGUGUAGCGGUGAAAUGCAUAGAUACCGUCCAGAACCCCGAUUGCGAAGGCAGCUGGCUAAGCCCUAACUGACGCUGAGGCACGAAAGCGUGGGGAGCGAACAGGAUUAGAUACCCCAGUAGUCC